This 238-nucleotide unclassified non-coding RNA is filed under the name uncultured Scenedesmaceae. RNAcentral's name for it is "partial internal transcribed spacer 2". The record is from RNAcentral. Lineage: Eukaryota; Viridiplantae; Chlorophyta; Chlorophyceae; Sphaeropleales; Scenedesmaceae.
UACACCCUCACCCCUCCCACCUUGUGUGGGUUGGUUGGCUUGCUAGCCAGCCUAGGGGUGGAUCUGGCUUCCCCAAUGCGCUUUUGCGGGUUGGGUUGGCUGAAGUGUAGAGGCUUAAACAAGGACCCGAUAUGGGCUGCAACUGGAUAGGUAGCACCGGCUUCUGCCGACUACACGAAGUUGUAGCUUGUGGACUUUGUUAGGGGCCCAGCAGGAAACGUGCUUGCACGUUCUAAAU